CCAGCAGCCGCGGUAAUUCCAGCUCCAAUAGCGUAUAUUUAAGUUGUUGCAGUUAAAAAGCUCGUAGUUGGAUUUCGGGUGGGCGGUGUCGGUCCGCCGUUUCGGUGUGCACUGGCAGCGCCUACCUUGCUGCCGGGGACGGGCUCCUGGGCUUAACUGUCCGGGACCCGGAGUCGGCGAGGUUACUUUGAGUAAAUUAGAGUGUUCAAAGCAGGCCUACGCUCUGAAUACAUUAGCAUGGAAUAACACGAUAGGACUCUGGCCUAUCUUGUUGGUCUGUGGGACCGGAGUAAUGAUUAAGAGGGACAGUCGGGGGCAUUCGUAUUUCAUUGUCAGAGGUGAAAUUCUUG
This 350-nucleotide ribosomal RNA is filed under the name uncultured eukaryote. RNAcentral's name for it is "SSU rRNA". It matches the Rfam family "Eukaryotic small subunit ribosomal RNA", at positions 567 to 922 of the family's 1831-position model. The record is from RNAcentral.